GAUGAACGCUGGCGGCGUGCCUAAUACAUGCAAGUCGAGCGAACGGACGAGAAGCUUGCUUUUCUUAUGUUAGCGGCGGACGGGUGAGUAACACGUGGAUAACCUACCUAUAAGACUGGGAUAACUUCGGGAAACCGGAGCUAAUACCGGAUAAUAUUUUGAACCGCAUGGUUCAAAAGUGAAAGACGGUCUUGCUGUCACUUAUAGAUGGCUCCGAGCUGCCUUAGCUAGUUGGUAAGGUAACGGCUUACCAAGGCAACGAUGCAUAGCCGACCUGAGAGAGUGAUAGGCCACCCUGGAACGGAGACACGGUCCAGGCGACUAAGGGAGGCAGCAGUAGGGAAUCUUCCGCAAUGGGCGAAAGCAUGACGGAGCAACGCCGAGUGAGUGAUGAAGGUCUUCGGAUCGUAAAACUCUGUUAUUAGGGAAGAACAUAUGUGUAAGUAACUGUGCACAUCUUGACGGUACCUAAUCAGAAAGCCACGGCUAACUACGUG
Molecule: ribosomal RNA, 497 nt
Filed under: uncultured bacterium
Lineage: Bacteria
Description: partial 16S ribosomal RNA
Rfam family: Bacterial small subunit ribosomal RNA
Source: RNAcentral